Molecule: long non-coding RNA, 620 nt
Organism: Cryptotermes secundus
Lineage: Eukaryota; Metazoa; Arthropoda; Insecta; Blattodea; Kalotermitidae
Exons: 2
Source: RefSeq, a predicted model, not a curated record
UGCUCUCUGUAAUGUCCAUGGCGGUCCAUAGAACGAAUAGAAUGUACGACUCGUGCAGGUAGUAAAUCCGUGAUUCAUGAUUUAACAAUCUGUAAUAACUACGCAUGUAGGACAUUCGAUACGUGUAUUGUAAGCUCCAUGUUUUUUCAAUGGCACACUUACGUUGAACUCCUACAGGACAUGUUUACAAUUCAUCUGAUGGAGAACUCUGGAGUGGAUCUGCUGACAUUUCUUCAUCAAGAUAGGAUUAGUCAGUACAUCUUAAUGUUGUGCGCAGGUGAUUCUGAACUGGCUACUUUAUAUGGGGUAUCAGAAAGAUUUGUGCUACACAAGCGGUACUGACAAAUACAAUUACUGAUAUUAUGUGCAUUCUCCAAAUGUUGACCUGAAAAUGCCCAAAACUCCACUCAUGAUAUGUAUAUUUAUAAAUGUAAGUGUAACAAGUGUUUUAUUACAUGUCAAAAAUGUCCAGGCACUAGAGGAAUAUGUACAUAAAAUUCUUAAGCGUUAACAGUUCUUGCUCUCCUCACCAUACAUAAUUUAAUAUGCAAUGAAAUGUAUAUAUAAUAAGUUCUUGUCAGAACUUGUUGUAAAUUUAUAAUAAACUUCCAACUCAGUCA